UAGGAUAGAGGCCUACCAUGGUGGUAACGGGUAACGGGGUGUUAGGGCACGACACCGGAGAGGGAGCCUGAGAAACGGCUACCACAUCCAAGGAUGGCAGCAGGCGCGCAAAUUACCCAAUCCCGACACGGGGAGGUAGUGACAAUAAAUAACAAUACGGGGUUCUUUCGGAUCUCGUAAUUGGAAUGAGUACAAUUUAAAUCUCUUAACGAGGAACAAUUGGAGGGCAAGUCUGGCGCCAGCAGCCGCGGUAAUUCCAGCUCCAAUAGCGUAUAUUAAAGUUGUUGCAGUUAAAAAGCUCGUAGUUGAAUUUCGGGGUUAGUAGGUUGGUCAUGCCUCUGGUAUGUACUGGUCUCACUGAUUCCUCCUUCCUUAUGAACCGUAAUGCCAUUAAUUUGGUGUUGCGGGGAAUUUGGACUGUUACUUUGAAAAAAUUAGAGUGUUUAAAGCAGGCUAACGCUUGAAUACAUUAGCAUGGAAUAAUGAAAUAGGACGUUCGAUCUUAUUUUGUUGGUCUCUAGGAUUGACGUAAUGAUUAAUAGGGAUAGUUGGGGGCAUUAGUAUUCAAUUGUCAGAGGUGAAAUUCUUGGAUUUAUUGAAGACUAACUACUGCGAAAGCAUUUGCCAAGGAUGUUUUCAUUAAUCAAGAACGAAAGUUAGGGGAUCGAAGACGAUCAGAUACCGUCGUAGUCUUAACCAUAAACUAUGCCGACUAGGGAUCGGAUGA
RNAcentral lists this ribosomal RNA (727 nucleotides) under uncultured fungus. RNAcentral describes it as "SSU rRNA". It matches the Rfam family "Eukaryotic small subunit ribosomal RNA", at positions 329 to 1060 of the family's 1831-position model. Lineage: Eukaryota; Fungi. The record is from RNAcentral.